GUCAGGAUGGCCGAGUGGUCUAAGGCGCCAGACUCAAGGUUGAUACCUUCCCCUCUGAUAGAAGGGUCAUAAAUGGGCAUUCUGGUCCUCUCUGAGGGCGUGGGUUCGAAUCCCACUCCUGACA
Halocaridina rubra (Hawaiian volcano shrimp) is the source of this 124-nucleotide non-coding RNA. Lineage: Eukaryota; Metazoa; Arthropoda; Malacostraca; Decapoda; Atyidae. The record is from the annotation of a GenBank genome assembly.